UCCGAGUGCAGCGCUCGCAGGCUGCAGGACGCAGAAGAAGCCAAGAUGUCCAGAACUGGACAGACCCCUGGGACGCCGGCAGGAGCAAUGCCCCAGGUUCUGCUCGCUCAGCCUGCCCUAUACAUCAAGCUGGGCAGUUUGUAAACACUUGCGUCACCCCGGAGGCGGCAGCAAAAACUGGGCAUCUGACAGUCAGGCAAACAUCCGGGGAGCCAGGGACACGUGCCCCACACGCCUUCAAAAUCAAAACAUCGGCUGUUCCCUGCAAGCCAACACUGAUGGCCACGGAUGACCAAGAGGCGAAGGUGCAGGAGGGGAGAGCGAAGAGGGAAUAUUCUGCCUAUCUACAACGCUGCUGAUCUGCCAAGCCCAAAGCCUUAGCCCACUCCCUGCAGGGCAGCUUUGUGGGCCUGGUGGGGACCAGCCCAGGUACCCUCCAUGCUGUCCUCCCGGCGGACGUUGAAGUUGUCGUAGGAGUCCCAUCGGAUGAGGGGGUCCGAGGUGUUGUAAUCCACGGAGACGCUGGGGCCGUUCUCCAGAUGUUCCAUCCCUGGGGGCAGGCGGAGUAACGCUGGAGGACACGAAACAGGAACUACUAAAGUUGGACGUUUCAAAUCAGAGGUCUAGAUAAUUUGCAUCCAAGAGUUUUAAAAGAGCUGGCUGAGGAGGUCGCUGGACCAUUCAUGUUGAUUUUC
Long non-coding RNA from Mauremys reevesii (Reeves's turtle), 695 nucleotides. RefSeq lists it as uncharacterized. Lineage: Eukaryota; Metazoa; Chordata; Testudines; Geoemydidae. The record is from RefSeq and is a predicted model, not a curated record. The transcript is spliced from 3 exons.